Molecule: small nuclear RNA, 270 nt
Filed under: Callithrix jacchus (white-tufted-ear marmoset)
Lineage: Eukaryota; Metazoa; Chordata; Mammalia; Primates; Cebidae
Description: 7SK RNA
Rfam family: 7SK RNA
About the family: 7SK was discovered as an abundant small nuclear RNA in the mid-70s but a possible function has only recently been suggested. Two independent studies have found that 7SK RNA binds the CDK9/cyclin T complex (known as elongation factor P-TEFb).
Source: Rfam by way of RNAcentral
AGUUGAGAAGGCUCUGCCUUCAGCAUCUGCUGCCCUAUGGAUCACCAGGGUUGACCUUUCUCUCCAUUCUGAAUGUGUCCCACUCAUAGCCAUGGGCUUGGUUGCAGGAACUGACCAUCUAAAGUAGACGAGCAGUGUUCUUUGGUCAAGGCCGUCUAAGUAGCUGCAUUCCCUUGCUGGAGCCUCUGAGCUCUCAGAGCCUAUGUAGAAGGAAGUAACCUGCUCUGUGUCAGGCACUGUGUGCUAGAUACUUCAUGUACCUUGUCUCAC